GUGUACGAGUGGUACAUGCCGAUUCCGAGCACCGGCCACGCCCGCCUGGCGGCUGAUCAGUAGUUUUGUUAGCU
RNAcentral lists this small RNA (74 nucleotides) under Xanthomonas vasicola. RNAcentral's name for it is "sX9". The record is from RNAcentral. Lineage: Bacteria; Pseudomonadati; Pseudomonadota; Gammaproteobacteria; Lysobacterales; Lysobacteraceae.